Molecule: ribosomal RNA, 230 nt
Filed under: uncultured bacterium
Lineage: Bacteria
Description: partial 16S ribosomal RNA
Rfam family: Bacterial small subunit ribosomal RNA
Source: RNAcentral
GAUCAUGGCUCAGGAUGAACGCUAGCGGCAGGCUUAACACAUGCAAGUCGAGGGGCAGCAUAAUGGAUAGCAAUAUCUAUGGUGGCGACCGGCGCACGGGUGCGUAACGCGUAUGCAACCUACCUUUAACAGGGGGAUAACACUGAGAAAUUGGUACUAAUACCCCAUAAUAUCAUAGAAGGCAUCUUUUANGGUUGAAAAUUCCGAUGGUUAGAGAUAGGCAUGCGUUG